UACAGAGACUGCAAGCGUUAUUCGAAUUCACUGGGCGUAAAGGGUGCGCAGGCGGCCAAGUGUGUGAGGCGUGAAAGCCCGGGGCUUAACCCCGGAAUUGCACCUCAAACUACAUGGCUAGAGCAUUGGAGAGGGUAGCGGAAUUCACGGUGUAGCAGUGAAAUGCGUAGAUAUCGUGAGGAACACCAGAGGCGAAGGCGGCUACCUGGACAAUUGCUGACGCUCAGGCACGAAAGCGUGGGGAGCAAAAGGG
RNAcentral lists this ribosomal RNA (253 nucleotides) under uncultured bacterium. RNAcentral's name for it is "partial 16S ribosomal RNA". It matches the Rfam family "Bacterial small subunit ribosomal RNA", at positions 524 to 776 of the family's 1533-position model. The record is from RNAcentral.